AGAGUUUGAUCCUGGCUCAGGAUGAACGCUGGCGGUGUGCUUUAGGUAUGCAAGUCGAGCGAAUUUGUAGCAAUACAAGUUAGCGGCAGACGGGUGAGUAACGCGUAAGAAUCUACCCUCAAGCGGGGAAUAACUGAUCGAAAGAUUGGCUAAUACCGCAUAAUAACUACGGUUUAAAGGGCUUAACUGCCCACUUGAGGAGGAGCUUGCGUCCUAUCAGCUUGUUGGUGAGGUAAAGGCUUACCAAGGCUAUGACGGGUAUCUGGACUGAGAGGUUGACCAGACACAGGGGCACUGAGACACGGGCUCCACACCUACGGGUGGCAGCAACCGGGAAUAUUGGGCAAUGGACGAAAGUCUGACCCAGCGACACCGCGUGGAGGAUGAAGGCUUUAGGGUCGUAAACUCCUUUUGACAGUCCCUUCACAGACUGUAGAAUAAGCUCUUACUAACUACGUGCCAGAAGUCUCGGUAAUACGUAGGGAGCAAGCGUUAUCCGGAUUUAUUGGGCGUAAAGAGUGUGUAAGCGUCUUUUCAAGUUCUUAUUGAAAGACUGAGGCUCAACCUCAGCAUGUGUAAGAAUACUGUUAAGAUCGAGGAUUAUUCGGGGUGCUGGAACAGUUGGUGUAGUAGUGAAAUACGUUGAUAUCAACUGGAACACCGAAGGCGAAGGCAAGCACCUAGGAUUAUCCUGACGCUGAGACACGAAAGCUAGGGGAGCGAAAAGGAUUAGAGACCCUUGUAGUCCUAGCCGUAAACGAUGGAUGCUAGCUAGUGUGAUUUUUUGCACUGGCGCAAGCUAACGCGUUAAGCAUCCCGCCUGGGGAGUACGGUCGCAAGGCUAAAACUCAAAGGAAUUGACGGGGACCCGCACAACCAGUGGAGCGUGUGGUUUAAUUCGACGCAACGCGAAGAACCUUACCUGGGCUCGAAAUGUAGUGGACCGGGGUGGAAACAUCCCUUCCCGCAAGGGCUGCUAUAUAGGUGCUGCAUGGCUGUCGUCAGCUCGUGUCGUGAGAUGUUGGGUUAAGUCCCGCAACGAGCGCAACCCUUAUUGUCAGUUGCCAUCAUUCAGUUGGGCACUCUGGCGAAACCGCCUCGGAUAACGGGGAGGAAGGUGGGGAUGACGUCAAGUCCUCAUGGCCUUUAUGUCCAGGGCUACACACGUGCUACAAUGGUCGGUACAAACCGUCGCAAACCCGCGAGGGGGAGCUAAUCGGAAAAAGCCGACCUCAGUUCGGAUUGGAGUCUGCAACUCGACUCCAUGAAGCUGGAAUCGCUAGUAAUCGCGGAUCAGAACGCCGCGGUGAAUACGUUCCCGGGCCUUGUACACACCGCCCGUCACAUCACGAAAGUGGGCUGUACUAGAAGCCGGUGGGCUAACCGCAAGGAAGCAGCCGUCCAAGGUAUAACUCAUGAUUGGGGUGAAGUCGUAACAAGGUAUCC
Molecule: ribosomal RNA, 1446 nt
Filed under: uncultured bacterium
Lineage: Bacteria
Description: partial 16S ribosomal RNA
Rfam family: Bacterial small subunit ribosomal RNA
Source: RNAcentral